UACGGGGGGGGCGAGCGUUGUUCGGAAUUACUGGGCGUAAAGGGUUUGUAGGUGGUCUGCUAAGUCAGACGUGAAAUCCCUCAGCUUAACUGGGGAACUGCGUCUGAUACUGGCGGACUUGAGGACAGGAGAGGAACGCGGAAUUCCAGGUGUAGCGGUGAAAUGCGUAGAUAUCUGGAGGAACACCGGUGGCGAAGGCGGCGUUCUGGACUGUUUCUGACACUGAGGAGCGAAAGCCAGGGGAGCAAACGGG
Molecule: ribosomal RNA, 253 nt
Filed under: uncultured bacterium
Lineage: Bacteria
Description: partial 16S ribosomal RNA
Rfam family: Bacterial small subunit ribosomal RNA
Source: RNAcentral